Molecule: ribosomal RNA, 501 nt
Filed under: uncultured bacterium
Lineage: Bacteria
Description: partial 16S ribosomal RNA
Rfam family: Bacterial small subunit ribosomal RNA
Source: RNAcentral
AUUGAACGCUGGCGGCAUGCCUUACACAUGCAAGUCGAACGGCAGCACGGGUGCUUGCACCUGGUGGCGAGUGGCGAACGGGUGAGUAAUACAUCGGAACGUACCUUAUCGUGGGGGAUAACGCAGCGAAAGUUGCGCUAAUACCGCAUACGCCCUGAGGGGGAAAGCGGGGGACCGUAAGGCCUCGCGCGAUUAGAGCGGCCGAUGUCUGAUUAGCUUGUUGGUGAGGUAAAAGUUCACCAAGGCGAUGAUCAGUAGCUGGUCUGAGAGGACGAUCAGCCACACUGGGACUGAGACACGGCCCAGACUCCUACGGGAGGCAGCAGUGGGGAAUUUUGGACAAUGGGGGCAACCCUGAUCCAGCAAUGCCGCGUGAGUGAAGAAGGCCUUCGGGUAGUAAAGCUCUUUUGUCAGGGAAGAAACAGCAGCUCUAACACAGUCUGCGAAUGACGGUACCUGAAGAAUAAGCACCGGCUAGCUACGUGCCAGCCGCCGCCGUAA